UUGAACGCUGGCGGCAGGCCUAACACAUGCAAGUCGAACGGUAACAGGAAGCAGCUUGCUGCUUUGCUGACGAGUGGCGGACGGGUGAGUAAUGUCUGGGAAACUGCCUGAUGGAGGGGGAUAACUACUGGAAACGGUAGCUAAUACCGCAUAACGUCGCAAGACCAAAGAGGGGGACCUUCGGGCCUCUUGCCAUCGGAUGUGCCCAGAUGGGAUUAGCUAGUAGGUGGGGUAACGGCUCACCUAGGCGACGAUCCCUAGCUGGUCUGAGAGGAUGACCAGCCACACUGGAACUGAGACACGGUCCAGACUCCUACGGGAGGCAGCAGUGGGGAAUAUUGCACAAUGGGCGCAAGCCUGAUGCAGCCAUGCCGCGUGUAUGAAGAAGGCCUUCGGGUUGUAAAGUACUUUCAGCGGGGAGGAAGGGAGUAAAGUUAAUACCUUUGCUCAUUGACGUUACCCGCAGAAGAAGCACCGGCUAACUCCGUGCCAGCAGCCGCGGUAAUACGUCGUGACUGGGAAACCCCCUGGCGA
This 534-nucleotide ribosomal RNA is filed under the name Escherichia coli. Its description in RNAcentral is "bacterial SSU rRNA". It matches the Rfam family "Bacterial small subunit ribosomal RNA", at positions 36 to 538 of the family's 1533-position model. Lineage: Bacteria; Pseudomonadati; Pseudomonadota; Gammaproteobacteria; Enterobacterales; Enterobacteriaceae. The record is from RNAcentral.